UGUACGUUGCAAAAAUUUCUA
This is a non-coding RNA of Caenorhabditis elegans, 21 nucleotides long. The record is from Ensembl. Lineage: Eukaryota; Metazoa; Nematoda; Chromadorea; Rhabditida; Rhabditidae.